This 515-nucleotide ribosomal RNA is filed under the name uncultured bacterium. RNAcentral describes it as "partial 16S ribosomal RNA". It matches the Rfam family "Bacterial small subunit ribosomal RNA", at positions 28 to 523 of the family's 1533-position model. The record is from RNAcentral.
GAUGAACGCUGGCGGCGUGCCCAAUACAUGCAAGUCGAGCGAAUGGAUUAAGAGCUUGCUCUUAUGAAGUUAGCGGCGGACGGGUGAGUAACACGUGGGUAACCUGCCCAUAAGACUGGGAUAACUCCGGGAAACCGGGGCUAAUACCGGAUAACAUUUUGAACCGCAUGGUUCGAAAUUGAAAGGCGGCUUCGGCUGUCACUUAUGGAUGGACCCGCGUCGCAUUAGCUAGUUGGUGAGGUAACGGCUCACCAAGGCAACGAUGCGUAGCCGACCGGAGAGGGUGAUCGGCCACACUGGGACUGAGAGACGGCCCAGACUCCUACGGGAGGCAGCAGUAGGGAAUCUUCCGCAAUGGACGAAAGUCUGACGGAGCAACGCCGCGUGAGUGAUGAAGGCUUUCGGGUCGUAAAACUCUGUUGUUAGGGAAGAACAAGUGCUAGUUGAAUAAGCUGGCACCUUGACGGUACCUAACCAGAAAGCCACGGCUAACUACGUGCCAGCCGCCGCGGUAA